Molecule: ribosomal RNA, 468 nt
Filed under: uncultured bacterium
Lineage: Bacteria
Description: partial 16S ribosomal RNA
Rfam family: Bacterial small subunit ribosomal RNA
Source: RNAcentral
GACGAACGCUGGCGGCGUGCUUAACACAUGCAAGUCGAACGGAAAGGCCCGGCGUUUGUGGGGUUCUCGAUUGGCGAACGGGUGAGUAACACGUGUGUAACCUGUCCUUGAAUUUGGGAGAACUCCAGGAAACAGGGGCGAAUACAGGGGAGGAUCUCCUGAUGCGUGGGGGUGGAUGGAGAGAUUCGGCGUUGGUGGAAGGACUCGCUGGUUAUCAGCUUGAUGGUGGGGUAGUGGCUGACCAAGGCUUUGACGGGUAGGCGGCCUGAGAGGGUGACCGGCCACCUUGGGACUGAGAUACGGCCCAGACUGCUACGGGAGCGCGCAGUGGGGAAUCUUGCACAAUGAGCGGAAGCCUGAUGCAGCAACGCCGCGUGCGGGAUGACGGCCUUAGGGUUGUAAACCGAUUUCGCCUGUGACGAAGCGUGAGUGACGGUAAUCGGUACAGAAGCCCCGGCUAACUACCUG